ACCUUUUUCAGUUUUAUAACAUAUAGUAAACUUUUGUUACCAAAUAGUUUUGUAUAUUUCUUGUGAGUGUUUGGGCUCAGAAGGAAAUGGUUCACGCAUUUUAAAAGCCUGAACUUAUAGCUGCCUUUACUCGUCUUGGCAAAUGCCUUAAGUCUUCUGGAGUUUCACCAGACACUUUCUCUUUUGUAAUAAUAUUUUCAUGUCAUGUAUAUUGGUCUUUUUCCCCAUUGGUUUUUUUUCCCCCCUCCACUAAACCGAGAUGUAAUAUUGAUGCCGUUUUUGUGUAUUUGGGAGAAGGUGACUUCUGAUUUGUUAAAAAUGUUUUCUCAUAUGAAGUCUUUAAUGCAAAAGCUUUAACUGACUUUGCCGGUUGACCGGAUGUGCCCCAUCGUACUCAUCAGAUACACAUAGCCAUUGAUCUGGCCCUUUUUCAUUGGCUAUAGAUAUUCAAGCUGCCAACAUAACAGUAACCUAUAAAGUAUCCCACACCAAAUGGCUUAUAUUUAGUUGAAGAUAAGCACACAAAAUUCUUUAAAUAGGUCUGCGAUUUCGAAUUAAUUGGUUGACUCAAAUCCUGUGGUAGGAAAGGACUGUACUAGUCUCAUUUGCAUAUCAUUCAUGCUUUCAUUGUCAUGAUUACUGUUAGUAUCAGACUAAAAUCAGCAUGUAGGAAAAUUGCUGCUUUGUUGUCAUGUGGUUUAACCAUUUAGAGAAGGAAGUGUAGUUAUUCUGUAAGUAUAGUCAGGUUACAAGUAGCAUGCAUGAAUGAAAGUUUGAAUUAUCUCAGUGUUUUUAGAUAGAGAUGUGCAAAAUUUUCAGAAUCAACCAAUUUAGGGUCAGAUUUACUAACAGCUUGCACCAGUGCAAGCCCUCUUUUUGGCGUUAAGAGGCUACUGUCAGAAUUUACUGAUGACAGUGAAAAAUUAGUGAUGAAAAGGCAUGGAUACGGUUAUUUUUGUGGCUGAUCUUAUUACGUAUUCAUUUGUAGGAGUUUCUCUUUUAGACACAAAAUGUAUGUGAGGAGAGUAUUUAAAUGAAUCAUGCAAUGAGAUUUACUAAGGUUUGCAGUAGUCAGUUUACUGGUAUUUGCGCCAUUAUUUAAUAUGCACAAAAAAAGUCAUGUCUUAACCCAUUUUGCACUUGACAUGCCUGCGAUAGUUGCUAAUUUGUGCUCCUCUUGGUAGAUUGCAUUGGUCAUUGGAAACGUCAGGCUACGUCUACAUUAAUUUGCACAUUGUCAGUAGAUCAACCGCAAAACGUUCCACUCCUAUCAACGUUUUUACCUUUUUAUGGGAUUGUGGUCUCACGCUAAUAUGCCCCGUUCAGUAAAUCUGGGUGGCCUGACCAGCUAGUUCACUAAUCAGUCUUCUAGUUAGUUGAAUAUUUUUAAUUAAACAUGGCAUCUUAAAAACAACACUUACCACUGAGAUGCUCAAAUGGAUGUUUGAAUGUGUAAUGGUUGUACUAAAAAUCUAGAUAAACUAGUCAACCUCACUAAUUGACUAGCUUGUUUUUGGACCCAUCCCUGCUUGUAGCCAACUAGCUUAGCAGUGUCAAGCUGAAUGAAAUGAACCGGAAAAAAGCACUUGCUCUCGCAUUGCUGCGUGAUGAUGUUUGGUUUGUAGAUUACAGGAAAUUAAAUCUUAUCCUUCCUUUCAUAUGUUUUGAUUCAUGAAACCGCAGAAGUGGCACAGCCUUCAUGAGCAUCACUGCUGCGUCAAAAUGUGCCCUUUUAAACUGACGUCACAUUAAAUUUUUUGGGGGUUUUGUACCAAAUGUUCGAUUUUGUAAUCGCUAUUAUCUAAAGCAACUAGAAAUGAAGCCUUAAACCACUACUGCUUAAUAACAGGAUCUGUUGGUAGAAUAUUACACUACAAAUUAUGUCCUUUUGUGAAAAGUGUGUUUAUACCUUUUUCAGUAUAAUUCACAGAGCAAAAUGUCAUCUCAUGUCUGCUCUUUCUGUGGAUCUUUGUUUCUUUUGCUGUCCUGUUUAUGUACUUUUCCCCCACCCAACUCUACAUGCAUCGUCUGAUCCGAGAGAAAGAGACACUUGUGAAAUAGCACGUGUUAUUUUCCUCUUGUAUCCAGUUGUCUUCCAGAGUGUUCGAAUCAGAGGACCUGAUUGGUUCAUUUCAAGACUAACCAUGUUGAGUUUCAUCAUUUCUGUCACACAGGUUAGUUAGUUUGCCUGUCACCUGUGCCACUGUGCUUACAUUGAACAGAAACUAGUGUAUUAGAUCACUGUUAUCUUUGUCAGUUUUGUCUGUAGAAAAAAGAAGAGGUGAGAAUCGAUGUCUGUUUUCUCAAGCGUUUCAAUGGUUUGUUUUACAUUUGGGAAGUUACCAGCCUUUGCCAAAUAGCUACCAGCUGUUCUGGUUUUGAGUGCAUGCUCUCUAGCAGAUUUGAACCGUAUUGGUGCUGUCUAACUCUUAAAGGGCCAGUGUAUCUGUUGCUUUUGGAAUGGAUCACUAAACACUGUAAUAGAAUCAAAAAGUGUCAAGUUUUUCAUUUAUUUUUGUCUUUUACGGUGCUAAAUUAAAACCAUCAAGGAAG
Long non-coding RNA from Sinocyclocheilus grahami, 2553 nucleotides. RefSeq lists it as uncharacterized. The transcript has 2 exons. Lineage: Eukaryota; Metazoa; Chordata; Actinopteri; Cypriniformes; Cyprinidae. The record is from RefSeq and is a predicted model, not a curated record.